This 519-nucleotide ribosomal RNA is filed under the name uncultured Pseudomonadota bacterium. RNAcentral describes it as "bacterial SSU rRNA". It matches the Rfam family "Bacterial small subunit ribosomal RNA", at positions 8 to 522 of the family's 1533-position model. Lineage: Bacteria; Pseudomonadati; Pseudomonadota. The record is from RNAcentral.
AGAGUUUGAUCCUGGCUCAGAUUGAACGCUGGCGGCAUGCUUUACACAUGCAAGUCGAGCGGCAGCGCGGGGCAACCUGGCGGCGAGCGGCGAACGGGUGAGUAAAAGAUAGGAACGUGUCCGAGAGUGGGGGAUAACUAGCCGAAAGGUUAGCUAAUACCGCAUAUUCUCUGUGGAGGAAAGCGGGGGACCAGUAAUGGCCUCGCGCUCACGGAGUGGCCUAUCUCCGAUUAGCUAGUUGGUGAGGUAAAGGCUUACCAAGGCGACGAUCGGUAGCUGGUCUGAGAGGAUGAUCAGCCACACUGGGACUGAGACACGGCCCAGACUCCUACGGGAGGCAGCAGUGGGGAAUUUUGGACAAUGGGGGCAACCCUGAUCCAGCCAUGCCGCGUGCGGGAAGAAGGCCUUCGGGUUGUAAACCGCUUUUAUUCGGAAAGAAGGAGUUCGGGUUAAUACCCUGGAUGACAGACGGUACCGGAUGAAUAAGCACCGGCUAACUACGUGCCAGCAGCCGCGGUA